AGAGUUUGAUCCUGGCUCAGAACGAACGCUGGCGGCGUGCUUAAUACAUGCAAGUCGAACGAGAAAGCAUUCUUCGGAGUGUUAUUAGAGUGGCGAACGGGUGAGUAACACGUAAGCAACCUGCCCCUAAAUCUGGAAUAACCUUACUAACGUGGGGCUAAUACCGGAUGUGAUUUUUAAAUCUCAUGGUUUUUUAAUUAAAGGUGACCUCUUCUUGAAAGUUACUGUUUAGGGAUGGGCUUGCGGACCAUUAGUUAGUUGGUGAGGUAAUGGCUCACCAAGACAUCGAUGGUUAGCCGACCUGAGAGGGUGAUCGGCCACAUUGGGACUGAGAUACGGCCCAGACUCCUACGGGAGGCAGCAGUAGGGAAUUUUGCGCAAUGGACGAAAGUCUGACGCAGCAACGCCGCGUGAGCGAUGAAGGCCUUCGGGUUGUAAAGCUCUGUUGAGCAGGAAGAAAAGUGAUUGAGAUAAUACCUCAUUUAUAUGACGGUACUACUCGAGGAAGCCCCGGCUAACUACGUGCCAGCAGCCGCGGUAAUACGUAGGGGGCAAGCGUUGUUCGGAAUCACUGGGCGUAAAGGGAGCGCAGGCGGAAGGGUAAGUUAGGAGUGAAAUACACGGGCUCAACCCGUGGCCCGCUUCUAAUACUGCUUUUCUUGAGUAUUGGAGAGGAUGAUGGAAUUCCAGGUGUAGCGGUGGAAUGCGUAGAUAUCUGGAAGAACACCGGUUGCGAAGGCGGUCAUCUGGCCAAAUACUGACGCUGAGGCUCGAAAGCUAGGGGAGCAAACAGGAUUAGAUACCCUGGUAGUCCUAGCCGUAAACGAUGGACACUAGUUGCUGGAGGAGUCAAUCCCUUCAGUGACGUAGCUAACGCGUUAAGUGUCCCGCCUGGGGAGUACGCUCGCAAGGGUGAAACUCAAAGGAAUUGACGGGGGCCCGCACAAGCGGUGGAGCAUGUGCUUUAAUUCGAUGCAACGCGAAGAACCUUACCUGGAUUUGACAUGGGAAUGCAAGCCUUUAGAGAUAGAGGUCCUUCCUUCGGGAACAUUCUGCACAGGUGCUGCAUGGUUGUCGUCCUCGUGUCGUGAGAUGUUGGGUUAAGUCCCGCAACGAGCGCAACCCCUAUCUUUAGUUGCCAGCGAGUAAUGUCGGGAACUCUAGAGAGACUGCCUGGUAUAACCAGGAGGAAGGUGGGGAUGACGUCAAAUCAUCAUGGCCCUUACGUCCAGGGCUAGACACGUGCUACAAUGGCCGGUACAACGGGCUGCUAACUCGCGAGAGUACGCUAAUCCCUUAAAACCGGUCUCAGUUCGGAUUGGAGUCUGCAACUCGACUCCAUGAAGGUGGAAUCGCUAGUAAUCGCGGAUCAGCAUGCCGCGGUGAAUACGUUCCCGGGCCUUGUACACACCGCCCGUCAAGCCAUGAAAGACGGUAGUACCCGAAGUCGCUCCUCUAACCGUAAGGAAGAAUGCGCCU
This 1479-nucleotide ribosomal RNA is filed under the name metagenome. RNAcentral describes it as "bacterial SSU rRNA". It matches the Rfam family "Bacterial small subunit ribosomal RNA". The record is from RNAcentral.